ACGAAAGGGGCGAAAAACUAGUACUCUUGGAAAGGAUUUGGCGAAAUUCCUAUUACCUCCAAACCCGUGAAUUCCAGCUGAUUUUUCUCCCUUCCAGCUUGAUAUUUUAGCGGAUCAGGAUUUAGGUUGCUCUCGGUUCUAUGGACUUCAUUGAUGAUUUAGCAUCUCGAAGUUUGGGUUCUUACCAAUUUCAGUGUCGAAGAUAUUAUUAUAGAUAGCAGGGUUUGUGUUCGACUAUAAUCUGGCUGAACUCAUAAGCUCAUAUUUGUAGUGAUGGAGGAUAUAGGGUUGUCUAGACAAGCUUGGAAAACACAUUUAUUCUCGAUCGCAAACUGCAAUCGGUGGGUGUGGAGAUAAAAUCGGGAUGUUUGUAGAGCGGCAUUAGCCGAUGGUGUGCAGUGGGUGCACCAGGACAGGGAGGCUGUUGAUCCUGUUGUUGAUUUAUUGGCGGGACUACGUCGUAAGAGGUUUUCGAUCCUUUAUCGGGUCGGGUUCUGCGGCUUUGCUCCUUACAAUGUGGAGUUGCUUUCUCAGUUUGACUUCAAUUUCUUGCCUGGUUUAUGUACUUCUUAGUAUGGAAACAGGAUCUGAGACAAAUUUGAAGAAACUUUGAAAGGAAUAUGGGUUAAGUGUUUAUGUUUUUGCAAUUCUGAUUUCAGAUUUCUUUUAUUAUAAUCUGAAUAUGUAGUUUAACAUUUUUGAGGUCAUUGAUUUUUUGGGUGCAAUACAUCUUAAUUCUAAGAAGAGGAGAUUUGACUCUGUAAGUGCAGGUCUCGGAUUGCUCCGCUCUCUCAGUAGGCUAUCAGAGCAGGGGCUGUCAAUACUGGGUUCUAUGCGGAGAUCUCAAAGUUCAUAGAUUCGAAGAAAGAAAGGUUCUCAAAUAAAGAAUUACUUGGCUUGAAGCUGCUGAUGAGGAUCUUCGUCGGGAACUUCAUGAAUACCACAGAUGGUAGCCCCUGCUUUGUCAAAAGCAAUGGCCUAAAAAGGAGUUUGUUAAGUUUAGAAUUGGCUGGCUAUCAAAUGGGUGAAGCGAUAACAGCAGGUGAUUCCCAGGAAAUUGAUGAAGUAGCAAAGGAGUGGGAGCACAACCUUCUGCAAAAUAUGAUGGACAGAGUUGCAUGAAUUGAAUAAACGUCUACAACAAAAAGAGUCGGAGAUGAAAUUUUUUUAAGGGUCCGACACUGUGGCACUCGAGCAGCAUUUUUGAAAGAAAAUUUUGGAACUAGAAGAUGAGAAAAGAACUGUGCAGGUUCACUUAAAACCUUAAUAUUUGAUGUUCUUAUUCUUGAGAGAACUGAUAUUCACUUAAAACCUUUAUAAUUUUAGUUGGGGAUAGAACAUGUAAAAUUCUAGUUGUUUUUAUAUAUAAUGGUUGUGAAUAUCUUUGUAAAUCUCUAUUAAUUAAUGAAACCGUCUUUGUCAACCAAAA
This is a non-coding RNA of Malus domestica (apple), 1429 nucleotides long. The record is from RefSeq and is a predicted model, not a curated record. Lineage: Eukaryota; Viridiplantae; Streptophyta; Magnoliopsida; Rosales; Rosaceae.